GCCUGUGUAGCUCAACGGCAGAGCGACGGUUUUGUAAACCGCUGAUGGGUGUUCAAUUCACCCCACAGGCU
This 71-nucleotide transfer RNA is filed under the name bacterium. RNAcentral's name for it is "tRNA-Thr". It matches the Rfam family "tRNA". Rfam says of the family: Transfer RNA (tRNA) molecules are approximately 80 nucleotides in length. Their secondary structure includes four short double-helical elements and three loops (D, anti-codon, and T loops). Further hydrogen bonds mediate the characteristic L-shaped molecular structure. tRNAs have two regions of fundamental functional importance: the anti-codon, which is responsible for specific mRNA codon recognition, and the 3' end, to which the tRNAs corresponding amino acid is attached (by aminoacyl-tRNA synthetases). tRNAs cope with the degeneracy of the genetic code in two manners: having more than one tRNA (with a specific anti-codon) for a particular amino acid; and 'wobble' base-pairing, i.e. permitting non-standard base-pairing at the 3rd anti-codon position. The record is from RNAcentral.